ACGCAUCUCUGGCGGCGAGGGUGUGCCCUGCUCCGGACCGAAAGGCCGUGCAGCGGGCUAUCCCGGACCGCUAAACCUUUGCAAACCCACUGUGCACUUUUGUCGGCAAAGGGCCUUUGCGGGCCCCGAGCCGGAUCACAAACACUUUGUUAAAUGAAUGCAAGCGGACAUUGAGCCGCCUAAACUUUAA
This 190-nucleotide unclassified non-coding RNA is filed under the name uncultured Basidiomycota. RNAcentral's name for it is "sequence contains ITS1". The record is from RNAcentral. Lineage: Eukaryota; Fungi; Basidiomycota.